UUUUUUUUUUUUGUUGUUGUUGUUUUUGUUUGUUUUUAAUGUAUGUGUAAUCCAAGGACAAUGAGACUUUACCAGACCAGGAGGUAAGAUGGACACUAAAGUUUAACCAUGCUCCUUCUCUUGCAGCUUGGAAAGCUCUGUGGGCUCAUGCUGAGGGCUCACGGCACCCUGGGACCGCUCUGGACAAUUCAGGGCCUGGUUCCCCCAGCCCUGUGUGCACUGCAUUGGUGACACACCUUGAGGAAGGGAUGGGUAUUCACAGAACACUUGGGUUAACCCUGUAGGAUAAACACAACUGGUUCUGUUAUUAACUGAUUCUGGGGAUGGAGGGAGUGGGUAGAGCAACAGCAACAGGUUUUUUCCCAACUUGCCCAUUCACAACAUUAUACUUCAGGCCAAGACACACGGGUCAUCAGACUGAACUGUGUGCAAUAGGAAAAGUCCAGAGAAACAGGAGGCGGCAAGGUCACGUGGCUGCAGGACCCAGCCCGCACCUUAGUUCCCAAUCUGGUCUGCAGUCCAUCGGAUCACGCUUUGGGCGCAGGCAGGUUACAGGGAAUGGGAGAGGAGAACACUUCCUCAGCACUUGGGUUUUGGAUUCAGGAGGCAGAAGGGAAUGGAGUGGGAGGGGGAAUUAGAGUUCAGGCCAACACCACGAUAGUCUGGUAGCAAAGAAAUGAAGUACAACAGGUUUUACUGUUGAGCUGCGUUCAGUCUCUACAGCACGUACAGAUGUUAGUCCUUGGAGGCCAACGUGACUCCUGAUCAGUGUGGUGGGGAACGGGGGCUGCCGCAAACAAGCACUUGCGAGCUCUGCACAGAUCCGUACUUCUUUAAAACAAAAUGAGAGGGAAUAUGAAGCCCCUGGUCUGAUAGAAAGCCCCACUGGAUUCUUUGGAUGCAUGUAGGAAGUUGCCUGUGUAGUCUAAAGACUGGUGGGAACACCUACAUCAGACCUUGUUGUGAGACAGGUGGAUUUUUUAUUUUAUUAUAUGCAGGUGAGUGUUGAAACUGUUAAAAUUCCAAUUUGUUUUCAUUCAGUGUUAGUUCUAAACAUAGCAAACCCCCUCCAGGUGCUAUCAGAUGACCAGUUACUGCUUAGUUAACUAGGUGUAAAGUCUGACAUAUACAUUAAUGUCAAUAGUUUAUUACACGUUGUGUAAAAUGGACUCUAGUUUAAUAACGGGGAGAAAGGAUUAGGUUGCUCCUGAAACUGACUGUAGAGCAUGUACAAUGAUUUUACUGGAUUCUGUUCAACUGUAAUCAAUGACAAGGAUGUAUGUUGUAGACAAAGUUGCAGAAUUAAAAAGAAGUCUGCUUUUAAUUUAUUCUUUUUGUAUUAAGAAUUUGUAUAGUACCUUUACAUUUUGCAAAACAGUGUUGUCAACACUUAUUAAAGCAUUUUCAAAAUGAAAAGAUCUCAGCUGCCUCUCGGAGAUUUUGUUUCUAAGUGAUAAUGCUCUGGGACUCUAAUUUGGGUGCCUGUGGCUUUGUGGAACUCUUUUUUUUUUUUUUUUUUUUUCUCACUCAGUCGUAAGCUGGUGUCCCUAUUGGCUUGCGAGAUACAGACGAGCUGUCUGUGGUCGAGGCUACUUCUCCCUUACUCUGAUGGCCUUGCUAAUGAUACGAGAUAAUACAUCCUCAAUCACGUAUUCCUGCCACAAAAAGGGAUCUGAGGUUAGAGGUCAGUCUCUGUCCAUUCCCAGUAGUUCGCCGUAUGCGGUUCAUGUCAGGCGUGGGUCCUGUGCCCACGGAACAGUACGUGGUGGAAGAAACCCUGAGGGAUCGUGGGCUUUGGAGGCCAUCCGUGGGCUCUGCACCCGGCAGGGACACGGCAGGAAGAGGAUGCUCUUCACCAGCGCCGCUCCUUGGCCUGCGCUCGGACCCAGGCACCCACCAUCUGCGUGGCAUCACCAGCGCAACAGCCUGCGGGGCCCGCGGGCACAGACAGCUCCCGAGGUCUGGAGGCCAAGAGCACCCCCUGCACGGAGAGCCCGAGCCAAAGCACCGGCCGUGCUGAGCGAGCCUAACCGCUGCCAAGGAUGAGACAGUCCAGAGAGCACAGAGCAGGCCAGGAGCGAGCCCGUAGGACACUGCGCUUCCGAAGCCUUUCGGGAAAGCAAGCCGUGGCUUGGUACCGCAAGGUAAUCAGCGCUCACGUCAGGCGGAGAUCUUCCGUAAGCUUUUACGUCUAAAUGUGUCACAGCUCCGGAAAUAAAUCCGGCGUCUCCUCCUGAAGCUCUGACUGUCCAGGGCUGGCACACGAAGACCUUUCUUUCCCUUGUCCCCACCUGGACGCCGCGCGCCGCCCUUACUCAGUGCUGACAGAGCGGUUCCACGAAGCAUUAAAAAUAGCCCUCGCCUCCUGCCGCGUCCUCCCAGGAUCCCAGGAUGCCAGAGCCGAGAGCUCGCACGCAAACUCCUCUCCGCGGCGCGGCGGGGACCACUGGCGGGGCUGAGGAGCGUCACCCACUGCGAGUCUGGGGAGGAGUCCGGGGUCUUCGAGAGCUCACGCUCACACAGGGGAGACCCAGGCACACAACUACCACGCGAGGGGAAACAAAGCUGCCAACGUUCAAGGCAAGGAGACGAUUCAGGUGCGUCCAAAGGGGAAGAGACCACCGCAUGUCGACGGCGUGUCACUGCCACCCGCGUCCAGGAGCCGGCUGGUGGCAGACGUGGCCGUGAAGAGGGAAAGAACCUGCUACGCCCUCUUCCCCUUGCACAGUACCCCCCCGACCCCCACAGCCGCCGUCCCUCCAAAGAGCAGGAGUCCACACAGUGCCAGGCCGACAGAGCCUGUGUGUUUACAGCUGCAUCAAGAUUUUUAUCAGAAGCCCAUUUCUGGGGACACCCGGGUGGCUCAGUGUGAGUGUCUGCCCCGGUUGUGAUCCUGGGGUCCUGGGAUCGAGUCCCUUAUCCCUGCUCUGAGGGGAGCCUACCUCUCUCCCUCUGUUUCUUAUGAAUAAAAUAUAAAAAAAAAUUUCUCUCCAGAAACUAUCCCUACACACAAGUAGGUUCCUUUUGUUUUUCAUUCAGUCAUGCGUUUUCUAGCAAACUCCAGCCACCCUUUCGUUCCCACGCUUUUCAAAACCACUGCUGUCAAGGUCAAGGGGAUGCCCAGGUAUGAUGGUUAACUCUG
This 3142-nucleotide long non-coding RNA is filed under the name Canis lupus familiaris (dog). RNAcentral's name for it is "lncRNA (ENSCAFG00845016216.1)". Lineage: Eukaryota; Metazoa; Chordata; Mammalia; Carnivora; Canidae. The record is from RNAcentral.